GCACUGGCAGUUCAGUGGUAGAAUUCUCACCUUCCAUGUGGGAGACUGUGGUUCAAUUCUCAGCUCGUGUA
RNAcentral lists this transfer RNA (71 nucleotides) under Loxodonta africana (African savanna elephant). It matches the Rfam family "tRNA". From Rfam's summary of the family: Transfer RNA (tRNA) molecules are approximately 80 nucleotides in length. Their secondary structure includes four short double-helical elements and three loops (D, anti-codon, and T loops). Lineage: Eukaryota; Metazoa; Chordata; Mammalia; Proboscidea; Elephantidae. The record is from Rfam by way of RNAcentral.